AGCCAGACUCCUACGGGAGGCAGCAGUGGGGAAUAUUGCACAAUGGGGGAAACCCUGAUGCAGCGACGCCGCGUGAGUGAAGAAGUAUUUCGGUAUGUAAAGCUCUAUCAGCAGGGAAGAAGAAGGACGGUACCUGAGUAAGAAGCCCCGGCUAACUACGUGCCAGCAGCCGCGGUAAUACGUAGGGGGCAAGCGUUAUCCGGAUUUACUGGGUGUAAAGGGAGCGUAGACGGCAGUGCAAGUCUGGAGUGAAAGGCGGGGGCUCAACCCCCGGACUGCUCUGGAAACUGUACGGCUGGAGUGCAGGAGAGGUAAGUGGAAUUCCUAGUGUAGCGGUGAAAUGCGUAGAUAUUAGGAGGAACACCAGUGGCGAAGGCGGCCUGCUGGGCUUUUACUGACGCUGAGGCUCGAAAGUGUGGGGAGCAAACAGGAUUAGAUACCCUUGUA
This 447-nucleotide ribosomal RNA is filed under the name uncultured bacterium. RNAcentral's name for it is "bacterial SSU rRNA". It matches the Rfam family "Bacterial small subunit ribosomal RNA", at positions 329 to 792 of the family's 1533-position model. The record is from RNAcentral.